RNAcentral lists this ribosomal RNA (332 nucleotides) under uncultured eukaryote. RNAcentral's name for it is "partial 18S ribosomal RNA". It matches the Rfam family "Eukaryotic small subunit ribosomal RNA", at positions 1470 to 1796 of the family's 1831-position model. The record is from RNAcentral.
CCCUUAGAUGUUCUGGGCUGCACACGUGCUACACUGGCAGGUUCAGCGAGCUUCAUGCCCUGAUCUGAAAGGAAUGGGAAAUCUUUUCAAAACCUGCCGUGCUUGGGAUAGAUGUUUGCGAUUAUUCAUCUUCAACGAGGAUUGCCUUGUAAGCGCACGUCAUCAGCGUGCAUUGAAUACGACCCUGUAUUCUGUACACACCGCCCGUCGCUCCUACCGAUUGAAGUUUUCGGUGAGUUGACAGGAGGAUUUUUUUGAAACUGGUUCGCCAGUGGAUUUUAGAUCCAAAUGCCAACGAAUCGAUGGCUUUAGAGGAAGGAGAAGUCGUAACA